Molecule: long non-coding RNA, 340 nt
Organism: Saccostrea cuccullata (small rock oyster)
Lineage: Eukaryota; Metazoa; Mollusca; Bivalvia; Ostreida; Ostreidae
Exons: 3
Source: RefSeq, a predicted model, not a curated record
UACAGCUCAGAUUCACCAGCAUCCUACUGAUGAUGGAGAUGGUUCGGCUUCAUUAUAUCAAAAUCUUACAGAAAUAAUCAUUCAUAAAACAGGAUCUCGUCCGGUUGAUGCACAGCAUGUGUACGACAUGGAUAAACACAUUGAUGGAUUCCUCCAUCCACAAAAACGGGAUACUGUUCAUGACAGCAGUGGGACACUCUUGUGGACAGAACCUGAAUUCUCAUCAUUCAUACAUGGCCUGACAGGAUGGGAUGAUAUUCACGAAGAAGAUGCUUCGCAUCACAUGAACAUUUUUAAGCAUUAUUCCCGGACAGAUAUGAUCCACAUGUACAAACACAUU